Sander lucioperca (pikeperch) is the source of this 168-nucleotide long non-coding RNA. RefSeq lists it as uncharacterized. NCBI's taxonomy places the organism in Eukaryota, Metazoa, Chordata, Actinopteri, Perciformes, Percidae. The transcript is spliced from 3 exons. The record is from RefSeq and is a predicted model, not a curated record.
UAAUAGUAGCAGAUUAAGUACUGUUACUGAGCAUUAAGGAGCCUAAUAGUACCAGGGUAAGUACUGUUACUGAGCAUUAAGGAGCCUAAUAGUAGCAGGGUAAGUACUGUUACUGAGCAUUAAGGAGCCUAAUAUUGCCAGGAUAUGUACUGUUGCAAAAGCGGGAUG